AGACAGGCUGUCAGAGCGGUCAUAGAGAAUCCAACGAACCAGCAACUUCACAGCUGAGACCGUCCAAGAGCCAGAGAACUAGCUCUUGCCUGCGGAUCAAGAUUUGCUGAACCAGAGGCCUACGUCGAGAGUCACAGACCAUUAUCAGUUUGUUCAUAUGGUGGACUACAUUGACAGAUUUUCAUAAGUUGAACCAUCUCCCCAUCUCUGGGAUUUCCUCAGGGGUUAUAAGUCUAUUUAAACGGUUUAUCUCAACUUGAUUUAACUUAGGACGAACAUCAUACAUUUUGUCAGUGGUCGAUGCAUGGGCAGUUCCUUGCCCAAAGGCCAGUUUUGCCAAGAAGAAAACAGGCUCCAAGUGGUGUGUCUUCGAUGGCGCUCAACAUUCUCUCAGGAAUAGAUUGGUACUGCCAGGAGCAAUCGUGUCUCACAUCAACAGAAUCCUAAGUUAUUUAAAUGCCAUGGGCCUCUCAAAGGUCAUUGGCUGAAGGAGGUGUCCAUCAUCAUGUGAUGCUGUGAAGCUGAGUUUAUGUCCCUCCUGCGUUGACUCUAGAAACUCUCACUAGUGAUGGGGUGAUAUUUGGAGGGUCCCUUGGGAGGUAAGUAGGUUAAUAUCAUGCCAUGAUAUGGGACCCUGAUAUUUGUCUCUCCACACACAUUUUCUCUCUCUCUCUCUCUCUCUCUCUCUCUCUCUCUCUCUCUCUCCCUCUCUCUCUCUCCCUACACACACACACACACACACACACACACACACACACACACGAGCACACAGCAAGAAACCAGAAGACCAUUAUCUGUGGGCUAGAAAGACCAGGAGAAGCCCUUCCUGAGAACAGGAAGAGGUGGUGGGAUGGAAGAAUUGAAUGCCCUUUAAGCCUGCGGUGCUCUUGUUACAGCCCAAGGUGGCUAAGAGACAUUGUCACCAGGAGUCAAAGCUAACCUUAGCUUAGAGAUUCAAUUAACUGUAAGAGAUACUGAGAAAUAGUCUUGGUAUUUGGGUUGUAAGCAGAACCUGAAGCGCAAUGUCCCAUAGAAACCCUUCUUAAGGGAUGGUUGGCAUAUGGCCUUUACUUCUCUUCUUUUUGUUCUGUUUUCGUUUGACACAGAGUCUCACUAUGUAGCCCUGGCUGACCUGGUGCUUGCUAUGUAGACUAGGCGGGGCUUGAACUCACAGAGAUUGACUUGCCCCUGCCUACUGAGUGCUGGGAUUAAAGAUGUGCUCCAUCACUCCCAGUCUGCUCCCUUUCUCCUUUGUGCCUCUCUCCAUCCUAAUCGCUGGGAGUGUGGCCUGAGGGGGUCACAUUGCAGGCUCUGACUGACUUACAUGAUAAGGCUGUUAAGGUGAUCUUGCGCUAAAAGAACAACUAAUAAAAUUGUACCACAGGAAGUAUUGUCUGGGACAAAUAUAAACUAAACAUAUAAGUGUAUCGAAACAUGUUUUAAGAAAAGGAACACAUAUGCAGAACCCAUGGAGUUCUUUGGAAGACUCUACCAGUCUGUAUAUCUAUCUGUCUGGCUUGGCGGUUACGUCAUCUCUCCGUGACAAGCAAUUCCUAUUUGUUCCACAAGACAGUAUCCAUCUAGACUAUAGAGUGCCAAAAAGUAAGUUUAUAAAUAUGUCUUUUUCCGAAAUAGAAAGUCAAACAUUACUUCUUGUAAGAUGUGUCAUUGGGUUAAAACAUUGUUAUGAUGGCUGGGGUCAGGGUGGGGUGGGGGUGCUGUUGUGUGGAAAGCAGAAGAAGCUUCCGGAGCCAAAACGGUGGGAGUUCUUCUCUGGACUGCAUGAUGCCGGGAAGUGUGUAUCUGGUGAGAGCUGAGCAAGAGACAGCUCAAAUUCUUCCUCCAGGUUCUCCAGCGCCCUGAAGUGUGGUCAAGCCGGGAAGCUGCGAACCAACCUCUGCCACACACAGCCUUUCUGCCAGGGCCCUCACACCUCCGACCUCUCUGUUUUCUUUCGGCCAGACCUGGCUUGUGUGAGGCCUGUAAACUUUAGUGUUUCUGGGAAGCAGCGGUGGGAGCUCCCAAACACUUGGUGACUUAAAGAGACAGGACUUGGAAUGCUUGGCCAGCUUGGGCACACAGAGGUUUGUUUUGUUGACUUGGAAUGCUUCAGCCAGCCUGGGCACACAUAGGUUUGUUUUGUUGAAGAAUCGAGUCUUGCUGGGUGGUGAAAGCCACGCUGGGAGAAAGAAUGGGGCAAUUCAUCAGCCCCUGCACACACUGCCUCUCCCAUUUUGUUCUGAAAUCUCUUGAGAGAAGGAUUUGUUCUUCGGCAGGGAGGCCCUAGCAGAGCGAGCACUCCCAGCGCUGAGAGGUGUGGGCUGAGGCAGAGCUGGUUCAAGUCCCAUUUCCUUUUCUAAACACAUUAGGUCUUUUUCAUCAUCCGACCUCCACAGAAAGGAAACCACAGUCGCUCCGACCCGGCAUUCCCCUGGGAAGGCGUCGCAGGGUGCUUUCUCUUCUCCACUGUGCGCAGUUGUUCAGCUCGUGAUUUUAUCCCAGAGACAUUUUGUGCUGCCUUCGGGCUUGUUGGGGGCUCUUUAGAAGCCUUUUCCUUGCGGGUUUCCUUUCUGUUUGCUCUUCUGUCUUGCUGUUGCGUGUCCUGCUACUGGGGUCAGCUGUCACCCUGAGGUGGGACAGGUCCUGCAGGCUGCACAGUAGAACUGAGAUGUGACCCACUAACCAAUCUGAGCCCUUUAGUACCAACAGAGGCUAGUAAAACAAGCCUGAGUAUUCCUUGGGGACAUGAAGUUCCCAGCUCCUCCUUGAAGACAGGGAAGCCUCACCCCUAGAGUCCUGCCAACAAUUCUGACACUGUGGGGUGGGGCACAAACCUGGCUCUCAAUGGUAAGAUGGCUCCUUCUGCCCCCCAGAUGCCAUGUUAUUGCUUCAUUUUAUUGACCUCAGUCUGUUUUCUUAAGAUUUGUUUUUAAGAGAGAGAGAGAGAGAGAGAGAGAGAGAGAGAGAGAGAGUGUGCGUGUGUGCGUGCGCAUGUGUGCGUGCAUGCAUGCAUGUAGUACACAGCCUACCAUUGUUAACUCAGAGGACUCUUUCAAGAGUUGGUUCUUUCCUUCCAACCUGGCAUUAACUCAGUUGUCAGGCUUGGUGGCAAGCUCCUACCAACUGAGCCAUCUUGCCAGUCCUCUAUGGCUUUUAAAAACCCCGUUUUGAAAGCUUGGCAGGGGAGGGGGUAGGGAUACACACUUGCAAUUCUAGCUCUUUAAUGUAAAGGCAGGAGGAUCAUGACUUUAAAGGCAGCCUUGGCUACUUAGCAAGAUUAAGGCUAGACUGAGCAGUACAGGAUUUUGUCUUUAAAAACAGAACAAAACAAUGGCUGGAGAAAUAACAGAGCAGUUAAGAUACUGCCCUUCCAAAGGAUCCAAGUUCAAAUCCCAACACCCACUUUAGGUGGCCUUCAACCUUCUGUUUCAAUUUUAAGGGCUCUGAUGCCCUCUUUCCGCCUCCUCUGGCACUGUACUCAAAUGGACAAAUAAAGAAACACAUAAAUAUACACAUAAUUAAAAGUAAAAUUAAAAAAUUCCCCUUUUGGCUAAUUUCCAGUUUUGACUAAGCAUAAACAAAUUAACAUGUAAGUUAUCAAUAUUAAACAUUAACAUUAAAUAACAGUAUUAAAGUUAUUCUUUGGUUUUAAUUUCAGUCUGUAUUUCUUUCUAGUCUAUAAUACAAUGGUUUUCCUGGGCGUGCCACCCUGACUGUCUUCAAACUGACCCUACUCAGGAGAGAAAGACUCUUCAGAGGCCUUAACUCCCAGCCCUUAAGGAGAGACUGGGGCUUUUGGCUUUCCGAGCCCUCCCUCUGCUUUGAAGAGGGUCUUUUUCUGUGUGUCUCUGAAUGUGUUUCCUCGCCCACAAUGAAUGCUUUCGUUCAGCUGCUGAUUCUGUCUAUGAUGCUUCAGAUCCCUCUGCUGCUACAUGCUGUCCUCAGAUUCUGUAAGUGGGAGAGAAGACAAACCCAACCAAGACCCCUAGACUGUGUCAGUUGAUAUUUCCAGAUCAUUGUUGUUAUAACAAAUCUUAUCUACUUUUUUGAGCAUUAGCUACAAUUCC
Molecule: non-coding RNA, 4067 nt
Organism: Myodes glareolus (Bank vole)
Lineage: Eukaryota; Metazoa; Chordata; Mammalia; Rodentia; Cricetidae
Source: RefSeq, a predicted model, not a curated record